CUCUGACAGAGGAUUACUCACAAAGUACACAGUAAAGUACUUCAUUUUAUUUCUGGUAGAAGUCAAACUAGAACCGAGUCCAAGAGAGUCAGGUUCCUUAAGAACUUGUGGUAAAACAUAUUUGUAUCACUCAUUGAAUAUAGCAGGAAUGAAGAGCAGCUGAUUUGAAAAGACAAAGUGGAGAGACGCGGAGUGACCGCAGUGCAGAACCGCUGUGUAGUUGAACUCUCCUAACAAUGUUCUCCAUUUUAGACACAGGCUUAUUAUAUUUACAGCCUUAGUAACGUUCAUUCUCUGGGCUCAAUGUGUGUCUGUUUCCGUUGAGAUCGCUAAAUGCACCUUGUUUAUAAUAAUCACCGUUCCUUCAGUACUUCAAUACUGCAGUGAUUCAAAGUGUGACUUUAGCAAACGAGUGCUUUUGUUUUGAAAUCACUUCCGUGAGUUUGGCCCCGCCCCUCGCUCCAAGGACCAUGAGACCAUUAGUAAGGUGAAAGCAGAAAGGCCUCCCAGACGCUCUUCCGUUUACGUGUUUAAUAAAGAAAAACAAUUGGACCGUAGAUCCACGGAUUCAUAAAUAAUAUCAAUAAUAAUCUUUAUACAAAAUUAUUAAUAACAACAAUAAAUAAUGAAAUGCAUAAUAAUCAUAAUUCAUGAAUAAUAGUAAUUUACCUUUAACAACAGUCUCUUAAAAAUGUAAUAAUAAUAAAACUCUAAAUGAUCUGUAGUGGCCUUUCUAGACUACACACAGGUGUUUGUGAUCUUUACGUUGAACAUCCUGUGCACUAAAUGACCUUUACGUUGUGAUCUUCUGGAUGACAACACUACACAUCCUUUGUGUAGUUUAAUGAGGACACACAGUGGGACUAAUCGAGAAUGAACUGAUCGCAAUCAAAUGACUGACUUUUGCCUUUAUUUUCUAGAGUCGCUCGAAAUAAAUGGAAAUCAAGAGGUGAGGGCAGAGCCUGGAGAAAACGUCACUCUUCAGUGCAACAGUGUCACAGAUGCUGCCAUCAGAGUGUUAGAGUGGAAGAGACCUGAGCUGGAGGACUCCGUCUUCUUCUUCAGAGAAAACAGGCUGAUGGAAAGCUUACCAGAAUCCACGUUAUCACGGUCGUGUUCAGCUGAAAGAUCCAGAGAUGAAGAACGGAGACGCUUCUGUUCUCCUGAAGAACGUCAGCAUCGACGACUCGGGAACGUACGAGUGUCGGGUUACUAACUCACUCCAAUAAUCGCAGGAAGAGAAACGUGAGAGAGUUGGUGCGCUCCGUCAAUCUGACCGUCUCUGAAGGUCCUGAGAAGCACCUGAAGAAUGGAGACGCCAACGAUGAACAACCAGAGGGUUCAGGAGGAAACGUUGGGUUGGGAGUUGGGUUGGUACUGGUUGGUCUCGUCGUUGUUGUUGUUGUUGUUGGUGCUGGACUUGUUGUGAGAUCUCAAAGAGCUAAGGUGAAGAGACCAUUAGAGAGUUUCAAUGAAGACCUCUUCACACUUGACUGUCCUCAAUCCCCUGCUUCUAAACUAAAUCCUCUCCGUGAAUCACUACCUUGUCGUGGUGGAGGGGCUUACAAACCCCCUGCUACACAAACGCCUGGUCCAGGUGAGGGUUACACCAAAUGUGAUUCCAUUGAGAAGUAGCAGAAAAGUUAGCGAUCAGCCAAUCAGAAGGAUUUACUUUGCUGCCGAACAAAGCGCUAACAACAUGGCCGACGUCCCCAAAAUAUCCGAUGCAGUGAUUUAUGGGUUUAUUUCAAUAUCAAUUCAAAUCUUAGACUCGUUGUAAAGAGGUUUUAAACUGCAUCUAUUGUGUUGGUGAUACAUUUCACAUUGCUUUCGUGUGCUGGUCUGGAAUGUAUUUAUAGGGAUAUAUUUUGUGUUUACUUUAAUAUAGUUAAGUUCUAUUUUUAUAAAUAAUUUGUUCUUAUUUUCAUAUCUCAAGAUUAUAUAUAGUGCAUGUGCACACUGUAUGUAAUGAACACGUUUCCUUAUUCCAAAGUCAAGAAAGUUGAUUCAGUUUAACUCAACGUACUUAAAAGACAUUGUUUAAUUACAUUUACUUUUUAAAUCAAUACAUUUGAUUUAGCUUAAAGCUCUACUGAGAAAUCAUUUGCCCGAUGCUUGAUACCUGUUUUUCAUAUUCACAAUUUCCUUUCCUCCCAAAUAUAAUACUCUUCUGCACUAUUUGAUCUGUUUUAUUGCUCUGCUGGCGGAGCUUCAGAUGUUCAUUGGUAACUCAACUGUAGCUCUGCACACAAACCAUAAAAGCAUUGAAUAAUA
RNA transcript from Gymnodraco acuticeps, 2274 nucleotides. RefSeq lists it as uncharacterized. The transcript is spliced from 2 exons. Lineage: Eukaryota; Metazoa; Chordata; Actinopteri; Perciformes; Bathydraconidae. The record is from RefSeq and is a predicted model, not a curated record.